CAAUAGCGUAUAUUAAAGUUGUUGCAGUUAGAACGCUCGCAGUCGGAUUUCGGGGCGGGUCGACCGGUCUGCCGAUGGGUACGCACUGGCCGACGCGUCCUUUUUGCCGGAGACCGUCCCUACUCUUAACUGAGCGGGGUCGGGAGACGGCACUUUUACUUUGAAAAAAUCAGAGUGUUUCAAGCAGGCAGCUCGCUCUUGCAUGGAUUAGCAUGGGAUAAUGAAAUAGGACUUUGGUGCUAUUUUGUUGGUUUCGAACACCGAAGUAAUGAUGAGAAGGGACAGUCAGGGGCACUCGUAUUCCGCCGAGAGAGGUGAAAUUCUCAGACCAGCGGAAGACGAACCACUGCGAAAGCAUUUGCCAGGGAUGUUUUCACUGA
Molecule: ribosomal RNA, 380 nt
Filed under: uncultured eukaryote
Lineage: Eukaryota
Description: partial 18S ribosomal RNA
Rfam family: Eukaryotic small subunit ribosomal RNA
Source: RNAcentral